This 742-nucleotide long non-coding RNA is filed under the name Malus domestica (apple). RNAcentral describes it as "long non-coding RNA (MDOM_LNC000939)". The record is from RNAcentral. Lineage: Eukaryota; Viridiplantae; Streptophyta; Magnoliopsida; Rosales; Rosaceae.
UAUGAGCUAGCAUAUGUGAUAAGAUAUGUGAUGAGCUAGUGUAUGUGAUAAAAUAUGUGAUGAACUAACAUAUGUGAGGAAAUAAAUGAUGAACUAAUAUAUGGAUGAGAUAUCGGUAAGUCGUACAAGUCACCCUAGGUGACUCCAACUUGCGUACUAGUGUGAGUUAUUAAUCACAUGAUUAUUUGAUAUUACUGAUGAGAUGUUAUGUUGUGGUAUAUUAUGAUUUUCUGGAAAGUAUACAUGUGUUGCAGCGAGGGGUUAUAAUGUUUUAUAUGGUUUCUAUUAAAAUCUUAGUUACAAGGCCACUCACCCUUGUCUUGUCUUCACCCUCCAGGUUUUAUCAGCUGAGCUUUCUUAUCGUCGAAGAUUUGUGGUGAUUCUUAGUAUUGGAGAUUAUUUCGAGGGUACGAUUCUUAAUUCACUAUUUUGUACUUACUUAUGCUCUAACAUCACGCGUGAAGUGGGUUUAUUCCCGCUCACCAGUGCACUCUGGCAUUUAGGCACUCUUAGGUUUAAAUUUAUUCACAAUUUUUCCACAUCAUCAAACUUUAUGACUUUGUCACCUUCCAGGUGUUGGCCAGCACAGCUCGAUUCGGAGUCCUAGUGGACAUUCCGGGUCGGGGUGUGUCAUGUGAACAUUUUUCAAAACCACAAAAAAAAAGAUAUUAAUUAAAUUUGAUAUGGAUACAUUAUCAAAUCAACAAAAUAGAAUGUAGCGAUAUAAGUUUAAAAAUAGAUU